AACCAAACAUCCUUCGCCCGCCGACAUGUAAAGGAACAGUGUUGGACAUCCUCACAUCCCCGAGUGAAUUGCAGAAAACAUCGACAUUAAAGGCCAGGAUUGCAGGAACCACAAGUCUAUGGAAUUGUGGCCAAAACCACUAAUUUUUUGUCUAAAUUUUUGCAAAAAAACACUAGUUGUCGAUUUUGACCCAUUUGAUGACGAUUAUGACAAGUGAAGCCCGUAAAAGCUGACGUGGCAUAACGGUUCUCCACAAACGGCAUUAGACAGUUUAUCUACAUUUACACAAACACCCUUCGUGCAAAACUAAAAAUGCAAUCGGGUCCUAUCCAAGCAAAAACUGCAGCACGAGUUCGUGGUGUUUCGUCGCCGGCGAGGUACGGACACCGGAGCGUUGCUCUGAGGAGGAACAGGGCGGCGUCAGGCCUUCGGCCGGUGGUGCCGCGUACGCAUAGGGCGAGGGCGGCGUCAGGCACGCGAGUGAGCGGCAGCCGCCCCUGCUGCACGCGGGCGCGAGCAGCGGCGCCGGCGGCCAGGCGCGAACGAGGAGCGGCGACGGGAGCGACGCCAGCGAGCAGCAGCCGCGCCGGCCGAGCGCGGGCGCGAGCAGCAGCCGCGCCGGCCGAGCGCGGGCGCGAGCAGCGACGCCGGCGGCCAGGCGCCAGCGAGCGGCGGCGUCGACGGCCACGCGCUAGCAGCAGCGGCGACCGAAGCGACGCGAGCGAGCAGCGACGCCGGCGAACACGCUCGAGCAGCAGCGGCGCCGGCAGUCAGGUGCGAGUGAACGGUGGAGCUGGAACCUUAUCCUCUUUUUUCUACUCUAUACUAAAUGAAAAAAUGUCCUUAUCCUCUCAGGCCUUUUUACAUUGUAGUCCCUUGUAUUCUGUCUAUUUACGAUAUGUUAUGUUGUGCCACAUCAUUCUUUUCAGCGGGACCCAUCUGUCAUAAUCAUGAUUAAAACAAACAAACUAGGUGACUAGUGUUUUUUGCAAAAAAUGAGACAAAAAAUUACUAGUAGUUUUGGGCAUAAUUCCGUAGACUUGUAGUUCUUACAACCCUAGCUUUCAAUGUCGAUGUUUUCUGCAAUUCACUCUCACAUCCCCACUCACCAUAUACAAGCCUUUUGAAAGUAUGAAUACCUGCAACAAUACUCGCCAUAUGCAACCCUUUUUUCAGAGCUGACACAAUGACGGAUCCACGGCUCGCCUUCUCGACUUUCAAUCCGCUUCGUACUGGGAAUCGGAGGUGCUCCUGUAAAUAACAUGCCCCGCAGCCAACCCGGAGAUCCCCCAACCAUAACCCUACCCGGCAGCCAGCGCAACACGGUCGAGAACAAGAGGCGAUCCAAGCCGAGGUCGUUGCAGCCAUCGCCGCAUCGAUCGGCCUCCCGUCCUCAAUAGGAGGGCCCGCGUCAACCGGGGGGGUGGCGACGCUCCGAUCCGCCCUCCGGCACCUGGCACCAGCCGCUCGCUUCCUCAGCAAGGGCGGCGGACGCGGCAGCUCUGGACCUAGCUUCACCGCCGUCAGGCGGAAGCAUUCCACCGGCGGCGGUGUAUUCUACAGUACGAUAUUGUGGGACGAACCCUUCAAUUUGAGAACGCCGGUGACCUGGUUCGCAAUCAUUGCCACCGCCAUUGGAACUACUUUAGGGCAUCUCCAAUGUGCAGGCGCUUGCGUAGAUGCUUAAGGAAUAAACAUAAAAGAGCGUCCGGGUAAGCGCCUCGGCAUCCAACGCUGGCGAGCUGUGAGACGCUUGUUCUCUCUCAUCAAAUUAGCUUAUCGGUGAACUGAAGCGCUCGGUGCCAAGACUGGCGUCGCGGGCUAGUAGGCGCCAGGAAUUUCUCUCCGCGCUAGCAAAACGGCCGGGAUUUUUAGCCUUAGCGCCUGUCAUUAGCGCCCCAUUGUAUAUGCCCUUACAGGAUAAGAGUGCAGACGACUGAUCAUGAAAAGCAGAAGGCAUGUGGACACGAGGAGGGGAAGAAAAAGGAUAGCCUUUGAAGCAUCUGUGCAUGUCUUCCUUUUACUGAGAAGCAUCAGCAUCUUGGAUAAACAAGCUAAGGUUGAUGUGCUUGAAGUCCUUGUAGGCAUCAAGUUCAGUUUUAUGCCACCCCGUGCUAGGUUGGAACCUCUUUUUUUUUUAGGGUACUACGGCGGGCAAAAGCCAGCCUGAACACAUUUAUUAAUUUUAAGGUUUGACAGAGUAUAUGUACAGAGGGUGGGGGAUUGGAGAAGGUAGAAACAUCAAAAGAAAACAACUAUGCUAAUGCUACAUCUAGCCGGGACAACAUGAUACCCCAGUCAAUCAGAACUUGUUUGCAAUCUUCAUUUCCACAUCUAUGGGCCCAAAGAAAGAGGUCUUGCGCUGCCCGCCGAAGAACGAAACCCGAGGACUCAACUUCUUGCUUGAAAACUUUAGCAUUCCUUCUUUUCCACACACUCCAGAGGAUGGACAUAAUAACCGUAUUACGAAUUUUGCAAGCAGGUGAACGACCCUGCAGGCCUUGGUUGGAACC
This is a long non-coding RNA of Aegilops tauschii subsp. strangulata, 2513 nucleotides long. RefSeq lists it as uncharacterized. The record is from RefSeq and is a predicted model, not a curated record. NCBI's taxonomy places the organism in Eukaryota, Viridiplantae, Streptophyta, Magnoliopsida, Poales, Poaceae.